Panonychus citri (citrus red mite) is the source of this 627-nucleotide long non-coding RNA. RefSeq lists it as uncharacterized. NCBI's taxonomy places the organism in Eukaryota, Metazoa, Arthropoda, Arachnida, Trombidiformes, Tetranychidae. The transcript has 3 exons. The record is from RefSeq and is a predicted model, not a curated record.
CUUUCUUUAUUAAUAUUUGUGAAAAACAAUUAAUUCUCAAUGUUGCCAAUUCGUUAAUUGUGUUAUCAUGAUAAUUAGAAAAUUAAAUUCAAUCUAUUAAUAAUUGGAACCAAAUUAAUUCUCAUUUUCUAACCUUUGGCCUGGUCUUUAAAUCUUCAUUUGUGAUUUCAAAGAGAAUUCAAUUGAUAUCGGAAAUUUGGUUUUUCUAUUCUCUUUACCUUCCAAAAUUCUAUCGGAUCAAUUCACCUUUUUAUAAAUAUAUGUGCUCUUCGAUAUUGGAAAACAAUUAACAUAUCAUAUGGAUCGAAAAAGGGAUAACACUUCAUCAAUAAUUACAUCUCUCUCUCUCUCUCUCUCUUUCUCUCUCUCUUACUCAGUGAGAAAUAAAGGAGAGAGAAAGAGAUCCCAUCAUUUGGAUACCAUUUAAUUAUGAAGAUGAAUAAUUAUCUUCUCAUUAAGGAUCGCCUGACUAAUAUGGUUCCCUUUUUGUUGAUGUUACCAUACCAUGCAUAGGAACUGGAAACAGAAAAAGUGAUGAUAAUAGUGCUGGUGAAUUAUCAAAUUGACUUAUAUUUCUGUCAUAUCUAUUUGCUGUUUAUACUUGAACUCUCUCUUUUCUUUCUCUCU